Molecule: ribosomal RNA, 253 nt
Filed under: uncultured bacterium
Lineage: Bacteria
Description: partial 16S ribosomal RNA
Rfam family: Bacterial small subunit ribosomal RNA
Source: RNAcentral
UACGUAGGGGGCAAGCGUUGUCCGGAUUUAUUGGGCGUAAAGGGCUCGUAGGCGGCCAACUAAGUCAGACGUGAAAUCCCUCGGCUUAACCGGGGAACUGCGUCUGAUACUGGAUGGCUUGAGGUUGGGAGAGGGAUGCGGAAUUCCAGGUGUAGCGGUGAAAUGCGUAGAUAUCGUAAGGAAGACCAGUGGCGAAGGCGGGUCUCUGGACAGUUCCUGACACUGAGGCACGAAGGCCAGGGGAGCAAACGGG